This 842-nucleotide ribosomal RNA is filed under the name uncultured marine bacterium. RNAcentral's name for it is "bacterial SSU rRNA". It matches the Rfam family "Bacterial small subunit ribosomal RNA", at positions 65 to 927 of the family's 1533-position model. The record is from RNAcentral.
UUUUCCGGUGCGGUGCUACCAUGGAGUCGGACGACUCUUCGGAGGGAGUGGCGGACGGGUGAGUAACGCCUCAGGAUCGGCCCUUAAUAGGGGGAUAACUACUGGAAACGGGAGCUAUUACCCCAUGUGCCGAGAGGUGAGAGUUAUUUCGCUUAAGGAGGACCUUGCGUCAGAUUAUCUAGUUGGGGGGGUAGAGGCCUACCAAGGCGACGAUCUGUAUCUGUUCUGAGAGGGAGAGCAGCCACACUGGGACUGAGACACGGCCCAAACUCCUACGGGAGGCAGCAGUGGGGAAUUUUCCGCAAUGGGCGAAAGCCUGACGGAGCAAUACCGCGUGAACGAAGAAGGCUCUAGGGUCGUAAAGUUCUUUUAUUAGGGAAGAAAUUUGACGGUACCUAAUGAAUAAGCAUCGGCUAACUCCGUGCCAGCAGCCGCGGUAAGACGGAGGAUGCAAGCGUUAUCCGGAAUUAUUGGGCGUAAAGAGUACGUAGGCGGCUAUGUAAGUCUAGGGUUAAAGGCCACGGCCCAACCGUGGAGAGGCCUUGGAAACUGUAUAACUAGAGUGCGGAAGGGGCAGAGGGAAUUCCCGGUGUACCGGUGAAAUGCGUAAAUAUCGGGAAGAACACCAGUGGCGAAAGCGCUCUGCUGGUCCGCAACUGACGCUGAGGUACAAAAGCUAGGGUAGCAAAAGGGAUUAAAUACCCCUGUAGUCCUACCCGUAAACGAUGGACACUAGGUGUUGGACGUAUCGACCCGUGCAAAACCGUAGCAAACGCGUUAAGUGUCCCGCCUGGGGAAUACCCCCGCAGUGGUAAACUCAAAGAAUUGACGGGGGCCCCACA